AGAAGUCAGAUAAUUCUGAAGUCGAUGGUGAUUCUUCUAGUGAUGUUAUCAUGAUUGACAUUGAAAACAGAUAUGCUCCCGAUUCGAUUUCUCCUUCCCCAGUUCCUGGAAUGCGUAGAUUUUCAAUUCGUCAGAAAUUUCCUGGGAAAGAGAAUAUUUGUCCUGCUUCCUCCCAAAGAACUCCUAUUGUAAUGUAAACCUUGGAUUUCACUCCUCAUUCAUCUUCAAGUAAAAAGUUUAGUUGUUUGAAAGAAAAGAAAGAAUCUUCUUCUAAACCCUGCCCAGAUGUCGAAAUCAUUGAUGAAAGAAGUUUAUCUGAUACUGUUAUUCAUAUGACUAGAAGAUCUGAUGAGAUAUAUAAUUCCAUCCUUCUGAAAUCUGGAAACAAUGCAAAUACUUCUGCAGGCAGUGGUUCUUCUGCUGAUCAUUUGAAUCAUCAGCUUUCUAUGCCCUCCCAGCCUUACAGGAUUUCUGAUUCAACAACUGGUGGCAAAUUGCCUAUUCAUGGUCCAAGGAGGUUUGCCAAACCAGCUUCAAUCUUCAAUGCUGAUUUUGUCACUUCUUCAAAUAAAUUUGUUGUCACUAAGUCUGAGGUUGAGAAUUAUAAUAUCAUUUGCAAAUUGGCUUCAUCUCAGUUCCAAUGUGAGGAUGCUGUUAAUAUGUUCGGAGUAAGAUGCACGUUUUGGUCUCUUGGUGAUUCAUUGAAGCCCGGAGGUUUGGUCAAGUCAUUUGUUGUUUCUGCUUUCUGCUUCAGUUUGUUUCACAAGCCCAAUGGUCAUCCUGACAUAUCAAAGAGGCAUUACUUCUUCUCAAACAUUG
Panicum virgatum (switchgrass) is the source of this 819-nucleotide long non-coding RNA. RefSeq lists it as uncharacterized. NCBI's taxonomy places the organism in Eukaryota, Viridiplantae, Streptophyta, Magnoliopsida, Poales, Poaceae. The transcript has 5 exons. The record is from RefSeq and is a predicted model, not a curated record.